AAUUUGAUAGCUAAUUCUAAUUGAAACUCAUUUGGUUUAUAGAGUUUAUAACCAUGUAUAAAUGUUAUAAGGAAUUGUGAGGGCUCCGACUUAUGUCUACUUGUUGUUCUAUCAGUUGGAAAAUAUGUGGAAAUGUAAAAUCUCAAGUUUCUAGUAUAGAACAUAAGUCUGUCUUGUAUCUCACAAUGAAUGAAUUAGAUUUGUUAGAAUUGUGUCAUGUUAAAAUUAGUAUAAACGAACUUGACAGUAUAGACACAUUAAUUUGUUUCCUAUUUGGUCAUGUAAUUUAAGAGUUGCGUUAGGCUUUGUUUCUAUUUGUUUAGAGAAGAACAAAUCUUUACUUUGUUAACCACAAGGUUAUUAGACCUUUUUAUACUAGUAUUAAUAUUAGUAUUAUUAUUGUGUUUUAAGAGUGAUUCUAGUAUCACAGUUGGUUCCUUCAAAUUUAAGAAUGGUCAUAGCGCCAUAUUCCCUAUGAUUUGAAUGGUCUUAG
RNAcentral lists this long non-coding RNA (493 nucleotides) under Trifolium pratense (red clover). RNAcentral describes it as "long non-coding RNA (TPRA_LNC010377)". The record is from RNAcentral. Lineage: Eukaryota; Viridiplantae; Streptophyta; Magnoliopsida; Fabales; Fabaceae.